UACGGAGGGAGCUAGCGUUGCUCGGAAUCACUGGGCGUAAAGGGUGCGUAGGCGGGUCUUUUAAGUCAGGGGUGAAAUCCUGGAGCUCAACUCCAGAACUGCCUUUGAUACUGAAGAUCUUGAGUUCGGGAGAGGUGAGUGGAACUGCGAGUGUAGAGGUGAAAAUUCGUAGAUAUUCGCAAGAACACCAGUGGCGAAGGCGGCUCACUGGCCCGAUACUGACGCUGAGGCACGAAAGCGUGGGGGAGCAAACAGG
This 256-nucleotide ribosomal RNA is filed under the name uncultured bacterium. Its description in RNAcentral is "partial 16S ribosomal RNA". It matches the Rfam family "Bacterial small subunit ribosomal RNA", at positions 524 to 776 of the family's 1533-position model. The record is from RNAcentral.